Molecule: ribosomal RNA, 253 nt
Filed under: Blautia caecimuris
Lineage: Bacteria; Bacillati; Bacillota; Clostridia; Lachnospirales; Lachnospiraceae
Description: partial 16S ribosomal RNA
Rfam family: Bacterial small subunit ribosomal RNA
Source: RNAcentral
UACGUAGGGGGCAAGCGUUAUCCGGAUUUACUGGGUGUAAAGGGAGCGUAGACGGAGCAGCAAGUCUGAUGUGAAAGACGGGGGCUCAACCCCCGGACUGCAUUGGAAACUGUUGAUCUUGAGUACCGGAGAGGUAAGCGGAAUUCCUAGUGUAGCGGUGAAAUGCGUAGAUAUUAGGAGGAACACCAGUGGCGAAGGCGGCUUACUGGACGGUAACUGACGUUGAGGCUCGAAAGCGUGGGGAGCAAACAGG